Molecule: transfer RNA, 78 nt
Filed under: Enterobacterales bacterium
Lineage: Bacteria; Pseudomonadati; Pseudomonadota; Gammaproteobacteria; Enterobacterales
Description: tRNA-Ile
Rfam family: tRNA
About the family: Transfer RNA (tRNA) molecules are approximately 80 nucleotides in length. Their secondary structure includes four short double-helical elements and three loops (D, anti-codon, and T loops).
Source: RNAcentral
GGGCCCUUAGCUCAGUUGGUUAGAGCAUCCGACUCAUAAUCGGCAGGUCCCCCCGUUCAAGUCGGGGAGGGCCCACCA